This 429-nucleotide ribosomal RNA is filed under the name bacterium. RNAcentral's name for it is "partial 16S ribosomal RNA". It matches the Rfam family "Bacterial small subunit ribosomal RNA", at positions 355 to 776 of the family's 1533-position model. The record is from RNAcentral.
UAGGGAAUCUUCCACAAUGGACGCAAGUCUGAUGGAGCAACGCCGCGUGAGUGAAGAAGGCUUUCGGAUCGUAAAGCUCUGUUGUUGGUGAAGAAGGAUAGAGGCAGUAACUGGUCUUUAUUUGACGGUAAUCAACCAGAAAGUCACGGCUAACUACGUGCCAGCAGCCGCGGUAAUACGUAGGUGGCAAGCGUUGUCCGGAUUUAUUGGGCGUAAAGCGAGCGCAGGCGGAAUGAUAAGUCUGAUGUGAAAGCCCACGGCUCAACCGUGGAACUGCAUCGGAAACUGUCAUUCUUGAGUGCAGAAGAGGAGAGGGGAAUUCCAUGUGUAGCGGUGGAAUGCGUAGAUAUAUGGAAGAACACCAGUGGCGAAGGCGGCGCUCUGGACUGCAACUGAAGCUGAGGCUCGAAAGCAUGGGUAGCGAACAGG